GGAGAAAACAUAUUUAGCGUGCUAGGAAAAGGUGCAGCCUCAUUUCAAAAGAUGGGCGCCUAUGGCUCCACGCGUCUGUCUGUGAGCGCUCUCCUCAUUGGCCAUCAGGACUUCGGCACGAGAGUGGGGAAAGCAGGGUUAGGACACCACAUGGGACUAAUGGCCAUGAGCAAAAUGCAAACAGGCGGGGGAAAGUCCUAUCUAGCCAGAGAUUAAUGUUUGCUCCUCCCCAAGUAGCCUGUGAGGUGCCAUUUAACAUCAAGAGGACACACCUAGAACAGCACAUCCAGAAUCCCCUGAGGAUCUUGUAACAUCACUGGUUCUGAUUCGGGAGGUCUGUGGUGAGGACCCAGAUGCUAUAUUUCUAACAAGCAUGCAGGGUGCUGCUGCUGGUCCACACGAGCAAAGAGCUUCAUGUGUUGAGAGUUGGGACACCUGGGUGGGAGGUCCAGCUGCCAACACUGUAGGUUUCAAUAAAUCUCAGAGCCAAUUUGCAGCUAAGUGGACUUAAGUCGACACCAGUCCUUUCUAACUUCUUUCGUUGUUUAAAUAGGAUAAUGGAUUUCAUUAUGGAUGGGAAGCAGGACAUUGUACAUCAGGGAUUCUUAUCCAGAAGGGCCUCAUGAGCUACAGAAUGUACAUGAAAUUGGGCUGGACAAAAGUUUGUAUUACAGGCUCGUAGCACUGGAGGUUUCUGUCGGAGCAGACAAUUUGAGGAGGGCCGGCCCUGCUGAACACAGUGAACGGAUCGGGUCUGAACCCCUCCUCCACAGACAGGUGAAGACUUCAUCUUGGACAAGCAUCACUAUAUAGGGACUGGUAUUUGGGAUGGAAAAAUAUACAUCUUGGCGGAAAGAGUAUGAGUUUUAGAAUUAGAUAAAUAUAGCUGUAUGAUUGUUAUCAAUCCAGGAAUUGGCAAACUUUUUCUGUAAAGGUGAGGGUACUGUAUUUUAGGGUCUGGGGGCCAUAUGGUCUUUCUUGCAAAUAUUCAACUCUGCCUGUGUAGCAUGAAAGUAGCCAUGGACAGCUCAAACAAAUGAGCAUGGCUGUGUUCUAAUAAAACUUUAUUUACAAAAACAGGCAGGGGAGCACAUUUAGCAUGCUGGCAGUUGCUUACUGAUCUAACUACCCUUACAAGAAUUAAAUUCCAAAUCUAUUAAAUAAGAUAAUGAUAAAAAUUUAAAAAAGAAAUCCAUAGCACUAGGUCUAGCACCUAGUACAGUGCCUAGCUAAGUAGGGAGAGAAAAUCAUGCUAAUUUCCUUUCCUCCAUGUUUUACUUCCCAGAUCCUCCCAAUCGCAUACAUAGUCAGUUGACCCUUGAACAACAUGGGUUAGGAGUGCCGACCCCUGUGCAGUUGAAAAUCCAUAUAUAAUUUUGGCUCUCCCAAAACUUUACUACUACCUACUGUUGACCGGUAGUUUUACUGAUAACAGUCAAUUAGCGCAUAUUUUUGUAUGUUAUAUGUUAUAUGUGUGCUAUACUGUGUUCUUAUGAUAAAGUAAGCCAGAGAAAACACUAAGAAAAUCAUGAGGAAAAUACAUUUACAGUAUUGAAAAAAAAAUGUAUAAGUGGACUUGUGCAAUU
This is a long non-coding RNA of Hipposideros armiger (great roundleaf bat), 1586 nucleotides long. RefSeq lists it as uncharacterized. NCBI's taxonomy places the organism in Eukaryota, Metazoa, Chordata, Mammalia, Chiroptera, Hipposideridae. The record is from RefSeq and is a predicted model, not a curated record. The transcript has 3 exons.